This 1900-nucleotide ribosomal RNA is filed under the name seawater metagenome. RNAcentral describes it as "bacterial LSU rRNA". It matches the Rfam family "Bacterial large subunit ribosomal RNA", at positions 1 to 1976 of the family's 2925-position model. The record is from RNAcentral.
AUAAGCAAAACAAGGGCGUAUGGGGAAUGCCUAGGCUCUCAGAGGCGAAGAAGGACGUGAUAAGCUGCGAAAAGCUGCGGGGAUUGGCACAUACAAGUUGAUCCGCAGAUAUCCGAAUGGGGCAACCCACCAUAUUGAAGAUAUGGUAUCCGCAAGGAGGCAAACCCGGAGAACUGAAACAUCUAAGUACCCGGAGGAAGAGAAAACAAUAGUGAUUCCGAUAGUAGCGGCGAGCGAAAUCGGAUUAGCCCAAACCGUACAGUUUACGGACUGUGCGGGGUUGUAGGACCGCGACAUUUGAUGCGCAAUGAACUAGAACACGUUGGAAAGCGUGGCCAUAGACGGUGAUAGCCCGGUAUAGGCAAGGAGCGUUAUCGAUAGCGGUAUCCUGAGUAGUGCGGGGCACGUGAAACCCUGUAUGAAUCCGGCGGGACCAUCCGCCAAGGCUAAAUACUCCUGAGAGACCGAUAGUGAACCAGUACCGUGAGGGAAAGGUGAAAAGAACCCUGAACAAGGGAGUGAAACAGAACCUGAAACCAUACGCUUACAAGCGGUCGGAGCCCUUCGGGGUGACGGCGUGCCUUUUGCAUAAUGAGCCUACGAGUUACUGUUACUAGCAAGGUUAAGGUAUUAAGUACCGGAUCCGUAGCGAAAGCGAGUCUGAACAGGGCGCCACAGUUAGUAGUAGUAGACGCGAAACCGUGUGAUCUACCCUUGGGCAGGUUGAAGCUGUGGUAACACAUAGUGGAGGACCGAACCCGUUGACGUUGAAAAGUCUUGGGAUGACCUGAGGGUAGGGGUGAAAGGCCAAUCAAACUCGGAAAUAGCUCGUACUCCCCGAAAUGCAUUUAGGUGCAGCGUUGAUUUAUAGUUUUAUAGAGGUAGAGCUACUGAUUGGAUGCGGGGGCUUCACCGCCUACCAAUUCCUGACAAACUCCGAAUGCUAUAAAAUGAUGAUCAGCAGUGAGGGCAUGGGUGCUAAGGUCCAUGUCCGAGAGGGAAAGAACCCAGACCAUCAGCUAAGGUCCCAAAAUAUACACUAAGUUGAAUAAACGAGGUUGGACUGCACAGACAGCUAGGAUGUUGGCUUGGAAGCAGCCAUUCAUUUAAAGAGUGCGUAACAGCUCACUAGUCGAGCGGUCCGGCAUGGAUAAUAAUCGGGCAUAAACAUACUACCGAAGCUAUGGACUUGAAUUUAUUCAAGUGGUAGGGGAGCAUUCUGUUUGCGCCGAAGGUGUACCGUGAGGUAUGCUGGAGCGGACAGAAAAGAAAAUGUAGGCAUAAGUAACGAUAAUGCGGGCGAGAAACCCGCACUCCGAAAGACUAAGGUUUCCUCAGCUAUGCUAAUCAGCUGAGGGUUAGUCGGGACCUAACGCGAACCCGAAAGGGGUAGUGGAUGGACAACAGGUUAAUAUUCCUGUACCUGCUCACGUUAAAAGUGACGGAGGCGAAAAUUAGGUGCGCACUGACGGAAUAGUGCGUUGAAGCCAGUGGUAACACGGCGAUAGUACACUGAGGCUCCGGCCAAGGUGAUAAUCCUGAGGAUCGACUUCCAAGAAAAGCGAGUGAAGCAGCCCGUACCCUAAACCGACACAGGUGGUUGGGAUGAGAAUUCUAAGGAGCUCGAGAGAUUCAUGGCUAAGGAACUAGGCAAAAUCGACCCGUAACUUCGGGAGAAGGGUCGCCCACGGCAACGUGGGCCGCAGUGAAGAGGUCCAGGCGACUGUUUAUCAAAAACACAGGGCUCUGCAAAAUCGAAAGAUGAAGUAUAGGGCCUGACACCUGCCCGGUGCUGGAAGGUUAAGAGGAGAUGUCAGCUUCGGCGAAGCAUUGAAUUGAAGCCCCAGUAAACGGCGGCCGUAACUAUAACGGUCCUAAGGUAGCGAAAUUCCUUGUCGGG